UACGUAGGGUGCGAGCGUUGUCCGGAAUUACUGGGCGUAAAGAGCUCGUAGGCGGUUUGUCGCGUCUGCCGUGAAAGUCCGGGCUCAACUCCGGAUCUGCGGUGGGUACGGGCAGACUAGAGUGAUGUAGGGGAGACUGGAAUUCCUGGUGUAGCGGUGAAAUGCGCAGAUAUCAGGAGGAACACCGAUGGCGAAGGCAGGUCUCUGGGCAUUAACUGACGCUGAGGAGCGAAAGCAUGGGGAGCGAACAGG
RNAcentral lists this ribosomal RNA (252 nucleotides) under uncultured bacterium. Its description in RNAcentral is "partial 16S ribosomal RNA". It matches the Rfam family "Bacterial small subunit ribosomal RNA", at positions 524 to 776 of the family's 1533-position model. The record is from RNAcentral.